AUCAAGUAGAAAACAAUAAUUGAUAUCAGAUUGAUCCGAAUUUGAAACGACAUCGAACUAGUUUUCGCAUUCUCGCUACAUUUCAAUGAAUUGAGCGUGUAUGUGUGUAUUAUAUGUGUAUGUGUGCUUGAUGAUAUAGGCGAUGAUAAUAACACAUACAUACGCACAGGAAGGUUUUCCCCCUGUGGCCACACCGGUGGAAAGUGAAACCAUCGCAGCCGAGGAUUGAGAUGACACGGUGAUAGGAUCUCCUCAUCUUGUCCCCCGCAAUUCGAUUCUUGCCUCGUUGUCCUCAGGUUGAUGAUAUAUGCUUUUAAUUAG
Molecule: non-coding RNA, 321 nt
Organism: Caenorhabditis elegans
Lineage: Eukaryota; Metazoa; Nematoda; Chromadorea; Rhabditida; Rhabditidae
Source: Ensembl